AACGAACGCUGGCGGCAUGCCUAACACAUGCAAGUCGAACGAGACCUUCGGGUCUAGUGGCGCACGUGUGCUUAACGCGUGGGAACCUGCCCUUAGGUUCGGAAUAACUCCCCGAAAGGGGUGCUAAUACCGGUUAAUGUCUUCGCACCAAAGAUUUAUCGCCUUGGGAUGGGCGCGCGUUGGAUUAGCGAGUUGGUAGGGUAAAAGCCUGCCAAGGAGACGAUGCAUAGCUGGUCUGAGACGAUGAUCAGUCACGCUGGAAAUGCGGCACGGACCAGUCUGCUAGGCGAGGGAGGAGUGGAGAAUAUUGGGCAAUGGGGGAAGGUCUGAUAAAGCAAUGCGGGGUGAGAGGUGAAGGGGGUAGGGUUGUAAAGCUGUUUUAGACGAGACGAUAAUGACAGUACUGGGAGAAUAAGCACCGGCUAACUCCGUG
Molecule: ribosomal RNA, 433 nt
Filed under: uncultured bacterium
Lineage: Bacteria
Description: partial 16S ribosomal RNA
Rfam family: Bacterial small subunit ribosomal RNA
Source: RNAcentral